AUUGAACGCUGGCGGCAGGCCUAACACAUGCAAGUCGAGCGGAUGAAGGGAGCUUGCUCCUGGAUUCAGCGGCGGACGGGUGAGUAAUGCCUAGGAAUCUGCCUGGUAGUGGGGGAUAACGUCCGGAAACGGGCGCUAAUACCGCAUACGUCCUGAGGGAGAAAGUGGGGGAUCUUCGGACCUCACGCUAUCAGAUGAGCCUAGGUCGGAUUAGCUAGUUGGUGGGGUAAAGGCCUACCAAGGCGACGAUCCGUAACUGGUCUGAGAGGAUGAUCAGUCACACUGGAACAGAGACACGGUCCAGAGUACUACGGGAGGCAGCAGUGGGGAAUAUUGGACAAUGGGCGAAAGCAUGAUCCAGCCAUGCCGCGUGUGUGAAGAAGGUCUUCGGAUUGUAAAGCACUUUAAGUUGGGAGGAAGGGCAGUAAGUUAAUACCUUGCUGUUUUGACGUUACCAACAGAAUAAGCACCGGCUAACUUCGUG
RNAcentral lists this ribosomal RNA (484 nucleotides) under uncultured bacterium. RNAcentral's name for it is "partial 16S ribosomal RNA". It matches the Rfam family "Bacterial small subunit ribosomal RNA", at positions 30 to 507 of the family's 1533-position model. The record is from RNAcentral.